GAUGAAGAACGUAGCGAAACGCGAUAAGUAAUGUGAAUUGCAGAAUCCAGUGAAUCAUCGAAUCUUGAACGCACAUUGCGCCCGCCAGCAUUCUGGCGGGCAUGCCUGUUCGAGCGUCAUUUCAACCCUCGACCUCCCCUUGGGGAGGUCGGCGUUGGGGACCGGCAGCACACCGCCGGCCCUGAAAUGGAGUGGCGGCCCGUCCGCGGCGACCUCUGCGCAGUAAUACAGCUCGCACCGGGACCCCGACGCGGCCACGCCGUAAAACACCCAACUUCUGAACGUUGACCUCGAAUCAGGUAGGACUACCCGCUGAACUUAAGCAUAUCAAUAAGCGGAGGA
RNAcentral lists this unclassified non-coding RNA (342 nucleotides) under soil metagenome. RNAcentral's name for it is "partial contains 5.8S ribosomal RNA, internal transcribed spacer 2, and large subunit ribosomal RNA". The stretch from base 1 to 119 matches the Rfam family "5.8S ribosomal RNA", at positions 35 to 154 of the family's 154-position model. The record is from RNAcentral.